Molecule: small RNA, 105 nt
Filed under: Klebsiella pneumoniae
Lineage: Bacteria; Pseudomonadati; Pseudomonadota; Gammaproteobacteria; Enterobacterales; Enterobacteriaceae
Description: partial RtT sRNA
Rfam family: RtT RNA
About the family: This family represents a bacterial cis-regulatory element known as RtT RNA.
Source: RNAcentral
UAUUCUGCCCCACGGGGAAGGAUGAGAAGCUUCGACCAAGGUUCGACUCGAGCGAAGCGAGAGAACGUUGCCGCAGGCAACGGCCCGAAGGGCGAGGCGCUUUAG